RNAcentral lists this transfer RNA (76 nucleotides) under Candidatus Woesearchaeota archaeon. RNAcentral's name for it is "tRNA-Val". It matches the Rfam family "tRNA". From Rfam's summary of the family: Transfer RNA (tRNA) molecules are approximately 80 nucleotides in length. Their secondary structure includes four short double-helical elements and three loops (D, anti-codon, and T loops). Lineage: Archaea; Nanobdellati; Candidatus Woesearchaeota. The record is from RNAcentral.
GGGCCCAUGGUCUAGUGGCUAUGACAGUACCCUUACAAGGUAUUGAUCCCCGGUUCGAGUCCGGGUGGGCCCACCA